CCACCUUCAGGGCAGACAGUACAUUCCUGGCCAGAGGGUAUAAAACAAAUCAACUUGAUUAUGUGUGGAGGGAGGGACAGCUAGUUCAGAGAGGGCAAGGCCAAGAGCAGAAGGUGAGCCCAGAGAACAUGUGAGAAACAGCCCAGGGUUGUGAAAGAAGUCAAGUUUGGUAGGUCAUCAGGACCAAGAGGUGAACAUGGAACCCAGACAGGGAGAAAAGCAGGUGCCGCAAAAGUGCUAGAAAAAUCAAGAGCAACAGUGAGCCUGGCCUGAGGAGUCUUGGACUUUACUGCUAGUGUUCUGGGUGGUAGAAGGAAGACAGAUAUUCCGGAGAAUUCUGACUUCCCAGAGGCAACCUGUAACAUAUUCUUCUCAUCCUCCCCAUGAUCCUGGGGCUGGUGACCAUGAUGUGAUGUGUAUGACUGAAAUUCUGUGCCACUUCUGCAGCCAGAACUGAGAGACCAGGGCAGCAAGGAGUACAUAACAAAGGAAAAGAAGCCCUGGCAUAUUCUUGGACGCAAGGCACAGCCUCAUGCCUUGAGAAAGGUAAGGGGCAUCAAUCAAUUUUUUCAUUUGCAAAUAAA
RNAcentral lists this long non-coding RNA (584 nucleotides) under Fukomys damarensis (Damara mole-rat). RNAcentral's name for it is "lncRNA (ENSFDAG00000027791.1)". Lineage: Eukaryota; Metazoa; Chordata; Mammalia; Rodentia; Bathyergidae. The record is from RNAcentral.